CCCUAUGGGGCGCAGCAUAUGGACCUGUAGCCUUUCUGUGGAUUGUUGUUGGUAAUAUUUUUGCAGGUACCGUACACGAUUACUUUUCCGGGAUGAUUUCAAUCCGAAUGGGUGGACUGAGUAUCCCGGAGAUUAUUGGAAAAUACCUAGGAUUAAACGUAAAGCAAUUUAUGCGAGGGUUCACCCUUUUAUUGAUGAUUCUGGUUGGAGCGGCUUUUAUUUCUGGACCUUCGGCAUUACUUGCAGCCCUCACUCCCGAAGCGCUAACAAAAAACUUCUGGGUAUGGAUUAUUCUAUUUUACUACGUUCUUGCAACACUGCUCCCUAUCGAUAAAAUUAUUGGAAGAAUAUAUCCAAUAUUUGGAUUAGCGCUACUAAUAAUGGCCGUUGGAAUUGGCGGGAGGGC
RNAcentral lists this ribosomal RNA (406 nucleotides) under uncultured prokaryote. RNAcentral describes it as "partial 16S ribosomal RNA". The record is from RNAcentral.